AUAUAAAAACAAGUUCNAAACUUUCAACAACGGAUMUACUUGGUUCUGGCAUCGAUGAAGAACGCAGCGAAAUGCGAUAAGUAAUGUGAAUUGCAGAAUUCAGUGAAUCAUCGAAUCUUUGAACGCACAUUGCGCCCGCCAGUAUUCUGGCGGGCAUGCCUGUUCGAGCGUCAUUUCAACCACUCAGGCCCUGGUGCCUGGCGUCGGGGUAUUUCUGUAACAAGAAAUCCCCUAGAAUCAGUGGCGGACCCGCCGCGGCUCCGAGCGUAGUAGUAAAAUAUCUCGCUAUGGAGGUCCGUGGGGGGCUAACCGGCCGUAAAACCUCUUCUUUACUGAAGAACUUCUCAAGGUGGRCCUCGGAUCAGGUAGGAAWCCCGCGACU
RNAcentral lists this ribosomal RNA (382 nucleotides) under fungal endophyte sp. ECD-2008. RNAcentral's name for it is "eukaryotic LSU rRNA". The stretch from base 19 to 173 matches the Rfam family "5.8S ribosomal RNA". The record is from RNAcentral. Lineage: Eukaryota; Fungi.